UCAUAAAACGCUAUCCCUAACUUUAAUACCUCCAUAUUCUCCCAUUAUCCAUCUUCUUCAUACCCAGAUUGUCAGAAGAUUCUCUCUAUCUCGUAGCAAAUCCAAGGCACCAAGAUUCCCAUUGUUAGGCAAAGGAAGCUCACCGGCUUUGUGAGCGAACCAAGGUGUCUCCGCUUCCCAAAUUCCUCUCCUUCACUCUCUGCGGAAAUUCCUAAAUCAUUCUUCAGUCUCCAAAUCAACAUUGCUGGAAUGGCAGCCAUUUCAAAUGUCACGGGAUGAGGUCACGGCGGGAGCUCAGUAAGGUCUCAGUUUCAGUCACUUCCUGGAUUGAUGUCUCCGAUCUUUUGGCCCUUUAAGAUAUAAAGGACAUGGACAAGCCUUUGGAAAGAAACACAACCUUGCUAGUCCCUUGAAGUGGAACACCAUUUGUGUGAAUUAAGCAGGAUACAAUUAUGUUCAAUGCCUAAUUCAAUCUUAAACUGAUGGAACAUUGGUUGAAUUUAAUUCACAUUGCUGGGAUGCGAAUCAUUCAAAAGGAAGUUGAUUGGUAAUAAGAACAAACUGCUACUACUGAACAUUAUUGAGACCCAAAAGUGGGGAGAUGCAUACAGCAUACGCAAAAAAUAUUCAGUAUUCAGACAGUGCUCGAGUCCGAAUGAACAUAUGCCAAGUGAGCUGAAGAAAGUUAUUGUGCAAGCUUGAAUGGAUGAGAAGCUUACUCAAGCUGAGUUUGCUCAAGUAGCACCCUCUCCAUAGAUAGACAAAGCAGAGAGAGAACCCGAGUUGUGAGACGCAGUGAGGCAAGAAGAGGAUCUGGUAUUAAAAGAGAAUCAAAAUAUCUGUAACGUAUUAACUACAUCAAUAUAUUGAUUUAUAUCCACACUAUUUGGAAGAAUCAUUGUUGGAUGAAACUGUUGGAAUGGUCCAGUAUCAAAGUAUGAAGAACAGGCUUGUGAAAAAGAUGUGUACGCAUGGCUCUUGAAGUUCUUUAUGCCUAUCUAGAAGACUUGAACAAAUGCUGUUAACAAUUUAAUUUAGCUAGCUUUAUGUCUGUUUUAUAGUUAAUCAACUUGAAGAUUGAGUCCCAUGAACUGGUAAUCAUUUGGCUCUCUGUGUAGUUAUAUUCUUUGUGAAAAUAUAGCAUGUACUUGUGUAAAUCUACUUCUUUGAUCCAUCAAAGUUAUCCUUUUGUUUUUG
Molecule: long non-coding RNA, 1197 nt
Filed under: Rosa chinensis
Lineage: Eukaryota; Viridiplantae; Streptophyta; Magnoliopsida; Rosales; Rosaceae
Description: sRNA RchiOBHm_Chr4g0438231
Source: RNAcentral